RNAcentral lists this long non-coding RNA (759 nucleotides) under Podarcis muralis (Common wall lizard). RNAcentral's name for it is "lncRNA (ENSPMRG00000011279.1)". The record is from RNAcentral. Lineage: Eukaryota; Metazoa; Chordata; Lepidosauria; Squamata; Lacertidae.
UCAAGUGAAUAAAAAUGUAUAAAGUCAACUAGAAUGACACAAAGAGCAUGAACCAAAUGGGCCAGAUGGCUUCGGGCAGAAUAUGACUCGAUCUGACAUAGGGUAUUUCCUUAGGGCCUCGGUUUAUGGAACCCAAGUUCUCAAGAAUAUCAAACCAUAUAUCAUCAUUUCUUAUGAAAAUAUGCAUCGGUGGCCUAUAUGCUUCCAUCUCUUACCACCACCUGGACAUUCUAGGCUGACUUGGUCAACAUUUUAAUGGCAGGUCAAGGCAAGGACCUCCACUCAUGUCGGCGCCAUUCCCACGGAAGAGCUUGGUUUCAUCUUUGCGAUCAUCAUUCAUAGUGUCACCCAGAGUAAUUAUUAGUGGACACUUGGCUGCUACAAGAAACACACACACUCUGUCAUCGUCCCAGGGAAGCCACGGAACCAAGAGGUGGGGAAAACAAUGCUGAUUUACUCUCUUUGAAGAAUAGCAGAGGGGAAAGGAAGUUAGCUCCACCGGGUGGAUUUUCAGCCUCUCGGAUUUUCAGUCCAUGCUGAAGAUUUUAAGAUUUUAUUGUUUUAUGUUCAUUGUAUUGUAAUUCCACAUUGUAUUGUAUUAUAUUGUAAUUUUUCAUUUCCAAUAUAUACAGUACAUAUUGUAUUUGUUAUUUUGUAAACUGAAUAGAGUAGGGCUGCCACAUGUCCGGAUGUUACUGGGAUUUCAAAGGCGGAAUUGAUGUCUAGGGGGGAUUUCUGAUAGGUGGCACUUUUAGGCAA